RNAcentral lists this ribosomal RNA (447 nucleotides) under uncultured bacterium. RNAcentral describes it as "partial 16S ribosomal RNA". It matches the Rfam family "Bacterial small subunit ribosomal RNA", at positions 29 to 523 of the family's 1533-position model. The record is from RNAcentral.
AGCGAACGCUGGCGGCAGGCUUAACACAUGCAAGUCGAACGCCCCGCAAGGGCAGUGGCAGACGGGUGAGUAACACGUGGGAACGUACCCUUUGGUUCGGAAUAACUUGGGGAAACUCAAGCUAAUACCGGAUAAGCCCUUAUGGGGAAAGGUUUACUGCCGAAGGAUCGGCCCGCGUCUGAUUAGCUAGUUGGUGAGGUAAUGGCUCACCAAGGCGACGAUCAGUAGCUGGUCUGAGAGGAUGAUCAGCCACACUGGGACUGAGGCACGGCCCAGACUCCUACGGGAGGCAGCAGUGGGGAAUAUUGGACAAUGGGGGCAACCCUGAUCCAGCCAUGCCGCGUGAGUGAUGAAGGCCUUAGGGUUGUAAAGCUCUUUUACCCGGGACGAUAAUGACUGUACCGGGAGAAUAAGCCCCGGCUAACUUCGUGCCAGCCGCCGCGGUAA